CAGCAGCCGCGGUAAUACGGAGGGUGCAAGCGUUAUCCGGAUUCACUGGGUUUAAAGGGAGCGUAGGUGGGUUGGUAAGUCAGAGGUGAAAUCUCCGAGCUUAACUCGGAAACUGCCUUUGAUACUAUCAGUCUUGAAUAUUGUGGAGGUUAGCGGAAUAUGUCAUGUAGCGGUGAAAUGCUUAGAUAUGACAUAGAACACCAAUUGCGAAGGCAGCUGGCUACACAUAUAUUGACACUGAGGCUCGAAAGCGUGGGGAUCAAACAGGAUUAGAUACCCUGGUAGUCCACGCCCUAAACUAUGGAUACUCGACAUACGCGAUAAACAGUGUGUGUCUGAGCGAAAGCAUUAAGUAUCCCACCUGGGAAGUACGACCGCAAGGUUGAAACUCAAAGGAAU
This 399-nucleotide ribosomal RNA is filed under the name uncultured bacterium. Its description in RNAcentral is "bacterial SSU rRNA". It matches the Rfam family "Bacterial small subunit ribosomal RNA", at positions 509 to 910 of the family's 1533-position model. The record is from RNAcentral.